AGAGUUUGAUCCUGGCUCAGGACGAACGCUGGCGGUAUGCUUAACACAUGCAAGUCGAACGAGACAAAAGAGAAGUGCUUGCACGGAUCUUUUAGAAAGUGGCGAACGGGUGAGUAACGCGUGGGUAACCUACCCUAUGGAAAGGAAUAGCCUCGGGAAACUGGGAGUAAUGCCUUAUAAGAUAUAUUUGUCGCAUGGCAGAUGUAUUAAACGCUCCGGUGCCAUAGGAUGGACCCGCGUCCCAUUAGCUAGUUGGUGAGAUAACAGCUCACCAAGGCGACGAUGGGUAACCGGUCUGAGAGGGCGAACGGUCACACUGGAACUGAGACACGGUCCAGACUCCUACGGGAGGCAGCAGUGGGGAAUAUUG
Molecule: ribosomal RNA, 370 nt
Filed under: uncultured bacterium
Lineage: Bacteria
Description: bacterial SSU rRNA
Rfam family: Bacterial small subunit ribosomal RNA
Source: RNAcentral